CCCAAGAGAUCGGGAUAACACCUGGAAACAGAUGCUAAUACCGGAUAACAACAGAUGAUGCCUAUCAACUGUUUAAAAGAUGGUUCUGCUAUCACUCUUGGAUGGACCUGCGGUGCAUUAGCUAGUUGGUAGGGUAACGGCCUACCAAGGCGAUGAUGCAUAGCCGAGUUGAGAGACUGAUCGGCCACAUUGGGACUGAGACACGGGCCCAAACUCCUACGGGAGGCAGCAGCA
RNAcentral lists this ribosomal RNA (234 nucleotides) under uncultured Lactobacillus sp. RNAcentral's name for it is "partial 16S ribosomal RNA". It matches the Rfam family "Bacterial small subunit ribosomal RNA", at positions 129 to 355 of the family's 1533-position model. Lineage: Bacteria; Bacillati; Bacillota; Bacilli; Lactobacillales; Lactobacillaceae. The record is from RNAcentral.